AAUUGCAGACUGGCCUUUUCAAGGGAAAUACCCAAGCCCUGCCCUAAAUUUUGCAUUCGGCUGCCUUAGCACUCUGCGUCCUCACACCGACCCUGGGGUCCUGUUUGUCCAGAGGCAGCGUGGCACCAACCCAGCUGUGUGUGCUUUGGAGCUGGAUACUCCUAAACACGUUUGGGUUUGAACCCCAGCUCUGAUCCUGCCAGCAAGGAGCCUUAGAGCAAGUGCCUUAACCUUCUGGGCCUCAGUUUCCCUCAUCUGAAAAUGGGUGUGAUCAAGUCACCUCCCAGGGAUGUUUUCGAGGAUAGAGGGGCCUAUGUAACAACUCCCCGGCAUCCAUACCUCCACAGCCCAGAGUGGGGUCUCAGGGAUGUGGGCUGUACCUAGGCCUAACUUCUGUCCGGACUGACCAGCACGCCUUCAGAAAGACUCUCGGGUUUACAGUACACGAGAGUGCACAGCUCUCCCAGACAUUCCAGGCAAUGUUACUUCAUCCACUUAUGGAAAUUUGCCUUUUUCAUAAUGAGGAAACUGAGGCACAGAGUGGUUAAGUGACUUGUUCAAGAUCACAGGGCUGGAGAGUGGUGACUAGUUUUAAUGGCUAGGAGAAGCAGGAACAAAAGCUACCAUCUGCUUGGAACCAUUGUUACUUUUGAACAGAAACUCUGGUAUUUGGCAGACAGUAAUGAAUUCAUCUACUUUUGCACAGGAGUAGGGUUAUCUUGCCCUUUGACUGUGCCCUUGUAGGCCAGCAGGAGUUCUGAGAUUCAAGGCGGAUGAAGGGAGUGAACCAUGACCUGGAGUGGAAAAUGUGUCCUUGGGGCUAUGUCCUCCGUGCCUUGGGUCUGGGCUCCACGUGGCCCUCACUGCCUUCUAAUAAUCAUUGCUGACUAUGUGUGAAGUGCCUUGUGCUAGGCACUGUCCUGUGUGAAAUCAGUGGCAUGCUGGGAAAUGUUUGACAAACAGCUCUUGGAGAGAGAACUCCAAUCCACAGCAUUUCCCUUCAUGGUGUAAAUAAUCCCACUUCCCACCAUGGUGGAUCUCAAAGCUAUCAACAUGAGGUCACUGACAGGGAAUUGGGAGAGGUUGCAUACAACUGGGUCUCCUGUGUGGUUCCAAUGCACUGAUCUUAAGAACUCACAGCACCCUGAUUGGGGGACAGCACUUUUAUUACUGCCAGUUUUGUAGAUUAAGGCAUUAAGACAUGGAGAGGUUAAGACAAACACUUCCCAAGAUCACUUGUCAAGUAAAUUCUGAUGCUGAACCCUUGUCUCUGGGAACCCAGAUGAACAUGCUGCCUUCUGAGCAGAGGCCUGUGUCUAGCUCCUCUCUUCCUGAUCUUCUCAGAGCUAAGUCUACCCCCAGUUAAACUCUACUCUCCUUAAGGGCAAGGAUCCCAGCACAAAGCAUGAGCACCAGACACAGACAAAGCAACAAGGAAAUAUUUGGAGAAUUGAAUUGAAUGCUUUGAUUUCAGUUGGAUCAACGAACUCGUCCAAGGUCACACAGAGGGGCAAUAACAGAACCCAUGACUGGAACCCAUUACUGGAACUCAUGACUUUUGGCUUCGGAUAUGAACCUUAAGUAGCACCUUCAGUGUCAAUUCUGAGAUUAUUGUCACAUCCAAGCAUGGACAUGAAGAUUUCUGUUAUUCCUGGGAGGGGGCAGAGGGGCCGUGGCUUCAUACUUUGCAUUUUUGAUGCACCUUUGCCCCCUUUCUUUUGUAGUGAAAAGCAUGACCCAGCACCUUGUAUGUGUUGGAGGCUGAGCAAGACCAAGGGUACCUGGAGGGAGGAGGUCUGAGAUUUAUGGGCUACUUGAUCAUUUUCGAAGUUUUUUUCAUUUGCUGUGGACUGAAUAUUUGUGUCCUCUCAAAAUGUAUAUAUUGAAGCCCUAAUCCCCAGUGGGAUGGUAUUUGGAGGUGGGGCCCAUGGGAGCUAGUUAAAGUUAGAUGAUGUCAUGGAGAUGGGACCCCCAUGAUAGAUUUUGCUCUUACAAAAGGAGAAAAAGACAGGAUAGGUUUCUCUCCACUGAAUGAGGAUGCAACAAGAAGAUAGUCUGCAAACCAGAAGAGCACCCUCACCAGACACCAAAUCUGCUAGUACCCUGAUCUUGGACUUCCCAGUGUCCAGAGCUGUGAGAAAUGUUUGUUGGUUUGUUGUCUCAGCCACCCAGUCUAUGGUAUUUUGUUAUAGCGCCCAAAUAGACUAAGACACAUGAUGUCAGUGUUUCCUAAACUAGCAAUGCACUGGGGGCAACCAGUGCAACAUGGUUGGUGAUAUGUGAAUGAACCUUUUAAAAUGUUAAUACUUUUGCAUUUAUUUUAAUAUGUGUUAAAAUAUUUCUAGUGUAUUAUAUCAGAAAUAGUUUUCACUGCAAACAACAAAACAAAAAAUAAAGAAAACAGCAACAAAAACCAGUGGCUUCAACAGGAAGUUUAUUUCUCCUCUGCUGUAAGUCAGGGGCUGGCAUGGCAUGGGAUAUGGUUUGGGUCUGUGUCCCCACCCAAAUCUCAUCUCAAAUUGUAAUCUUCAGUGUUGCAGGAGGGGCCUGGUGGAAGGUGACUGGAUCAUGGGGGUGGUUUCUCCCAUGCUGUUGUUGUGAUAGUGAGUUCCCACAUGAUCUGAUGGUUUAAAAGUGACACUUCCCCCUUCUCUCUCCCUCUUGCUGCUGUGGUAAGACAUGCCUUGCUUCCCCUUCCCCUUCUGCCAUGAUUGUAAGUUUCCUGAGGCCUCCCAGUUAUGCUUCCUGUUAAGCCUGUGGAACUGUAAGUCAAUUAAACCUCUUUUCUUCAUAAAUUACCCAUCCUCAGGUAGUUCUUCAUAGCAGUGUAAAAACAGACUACUACAGAAAAUUGGUACCAGAAAUGGGGCACUGCUAUAAAGA
Molecule: long non-coding RNA, 2883 nt
Organism: Rhinopithecus roxellana (golden snub-nosed monkey)
Lineage: Eukaryota; Metazoa; Chordata; Mammalia; Primates; Cercopithecidae
Exons: 3
Source: RefSeq, a predicted model, not a curated record